RNAcentral lists this transfer RNA (91 nucleotides) under Candidatus Omnitrophota bacterium. Its description in RNAcentral is "tRNA-Ser". It matches the Rfam family "tRNA". Rfam says of the family: Transfer RNA (tRNA) molecules are approximately 80 nucleotides in length. RNAcentral also lists the same sequence under 1 other name. The record is from RNAcentral. Lineage: Bacteria; Pseudomonadati; Candidatus Omnitrophota.
GGAGAGGUGGCCGAGUGGUUGAAGGCGGCGGUUUGCUAAACCGUUGUACGGUCGAAAGGCUGUACCCAGGGUUCGAAUCCCUGCCUCUCCG